RNAcentral lists this ribosomal RNA (258 nucleotides) under uncultured bacterium. RNAcentral's name for it is "partial 16S ribosomal RNA". It matches the Rfam family "Bacterial small subunit ribosomal RNA", at positions 524 to 776 of the family's 1533-position model. The record is from RNAcentral.
UACGUAGGGACCGAGCGUUGUCCGGAUUCAUUGGGCGUAAAGAGCUCGUAGGCGGCUGUCCAAGUCGAAACGUGAAAACUCGGGGCUCAACUCCGAGCCUGCGUUCGAUACUGGACGGCUAGAGUCUGGUAGGGGGAUCUGGAAUUCCUGGAUGUGAGCGGUGGGAAGUACGCAGAUAUCAGGAGGAACACCGGUGGCGAAGGCGGGAUCCUGGGCCAGUACUGACGCUGAGGAGCGAAAGCGUGGGGAGCAAACAGG